AGCUAUGCAGCAGCACGAUCCUCUAAAGUCAUGGAAAAUAACCUUAAUUUAAUACCCUCUUCAUCUAAGUUUUGAUUUCUAAACGUUUGACAGAUUGUCAAAAAUUUGUUUAGAUGAAUAUAGGGUUGUUCCCUCUCGAACCCAUGAAACUUGGGUAACAUAUUUAUUGUUGCAGCCCGAAUUUCAAAUUGGGCUGCAUUAUUUAUUGGCAAUACUAUACAUGUAGGUGGACUAGCGGAUGCAGGAGCGAAUAAUUCAUUCAGGGUUCUAAUAUGUUCACCCAUUGUAGAGAUCGACGGUUGGUUUACAGUUCGCAGGUUAUGAUGAAAAGUUCUGUCAAUCUCAGGAUCAAAUGGGGUUAACUUAUCUCUUAAUUACCUUCUACCAUGUAUACAUUUUCCACAACUCAAUUAGACUCAAUUUUUUAAACGAAAUCCUAAAAGAUAAGAAGAAGGGCUAGACCAAGAUGACCACAAUCAACACCACACAACAAUUUGACCCUAUUAGUCUUAGAGCUAAGUGAGGUUUAGUAGCUUCUUAAAUCUAGUUGCACAGAGACUUAUCAGGUUAAAAAAGUUCCUGAAAUUCUCUCUAGAUUAGACAGCUCCUAAUCUCCCUUUCAGAUUAAGCUUGAGCUUACCAGUUAAGUGAUCCAGUAACCAGUGACCAAGAAAGUCUCGGGGUGUGUGGUGGUGCCAGAAGGGAUACAACGAUACCACAAUACCCGUAACAGUUCUCACUGUUGUAAAACUUUCCUAGAUAUCACCAAUUACUAAAUUCUCACUGGAGUGGCUUUCAGCCGCUUCUUUCCAAGAGCCUAAUUGAGCUCGAAAACCCUAAG
This 841-nucleotide long non-coding RNA is filed under the name Phoenix dactylifera (date palm). Its description in RNAcentral is "long non-coding RNA (PDAC_LNC006476)". Lineage: Eukaryota; Viridiplantae; Streptophyta; Magnoliopsida; Arecales; Arecaceae. The record is from RNAcentral.